This 1619-nucleotide long non-coding RNA is filed under the name Homo sapiens (human). RNAcentral's name for it is "non-protein coding TRAF3IP2-AS1:31". Lineage: Eukaryota; Metazoa; Chordata; Mammalia; Primates; Hominidae. The record is from RNAcentral.
AGGAGCACCCGGCAAGGGGCCGCAGGAGAGAAGCCCUCGAGCUUUCGUCGGUGCUGGUGCUGCCGCCACUGCCGCCACCGCCGGGAAUCACACGGGCUCCUCGGUCCCAGGCUGCAGCUCUUGUUGCCAUGAUGAUGAUGUCACGGACGCAACCACUGGGGGGAGGGGAGAGGGGGGUGUGUGUGGCGAAGGGAGGCUGCGAGUAGUGCGGGGGAGGGGGCUCGGCGGGAAAAGGAGCGAGAGGGCGGGCGCCCGGGCGGGACACGGAGGGCGGGGGCCGAGAAGGGGCUUUCUCCCCCUCCCCGGGCACGCGGCGAGGGAGGCGGCCGGCGGCCGGCAGCGCCCGCGCGGGAUCGAUGACUCGGCUGGCGGGCACGGUCACCUGGGUGAGGGGCAGCGGAAGGGGCGGCGGAGCACCGAUCUCAUGGAUGGGCUCCGAGGGGCUUGCGGGAGGGGGGCGCCAGUGUUCGGGGCCGUUUUGGCGGCUAUGCAGGAUUGGCAGGAGCUGCGAUGCUCACACUUGCCUCGCCGACCGCCAUUUCACAUCCAGCAGAGGAGGCGGGGGCAGCCGCUGAGACGGUUUUUCACAAGGUGCAUUUUAGUGGUUACCAGGUUGCCACGUAUUUGAAGUGGUGUGAGAGCUACUCGUUUGGAACCGUUGUGGAUUUUCAAAUAGGAAAAUCAAAAGGCCCAAAGAGACAGCUCACUGGUGACCAUGCUUUGGGAUUUUCAUAGUUUGAGUAAUUCCUAUGGGCUCUACCACCCAGCGAGUUAAAGAAGACAAGAUUCCACCCCCAGGGGGUUGUGGUUCUGGGAAUGUGAGCAGCUUGUUUUCAGGAGAUCUGCAUCUUGAUCUGGCCUGCUAUUAGGAUCUGUGGUGGUGGUGCCUGUCUGGUUUUAGUUGUUUCUUUUAUCUUACACAGAUUUUUGUAAGUUAUUUGCAUAUAAAGGUUUUUGAAAAGUGAAUGUUUUAUGGGGGCAUCUUGCUUAUACAAAGAAAAAUUAAAACUGUUUUAAAAUAAUCACUCGUGUUACACUUGUCUAUUCUAAAAUAAAUGAAAGUAUUAAUGUUGUUGUCUGGAAGGAAAAUGAAGACCAGGAAAAUAGCUAUGCUCUUAAUGUUUUAAAAUAAGGUAAUAUUAUUCUCUGUUUGAAUGGAGGCUUCUAAGGAAUUACCACAGUCUCACACACAAUCGACUUAAAUGCAUUCUUUAUCUUUAAAAGGAAGCAGAAUAGGAUCAUUGAGUAAAUCACAUGUGUUCACAGUCUUGUCUGGUGUAAUCGUAUACUACACAAACACAUUAUUCUGUAGUCAGGAGGGGAAGGGGACAUUUGAAGCAGGACUUGCCCUUGAGGAGGCCUUUUUCUGUUUAAAGUAUAGUGCAGUGAAAGACCACACAGUAGAAGAUAACAAAAUAUCUUCCAUGCCACCCCCACUUUUUCAUUUUCUCAUUCUCCUUUGUUCUCUAAGGACAUCUGUUGAAAUGAUUAUUCUGUAAAACUCAUAGGUACCUAGCAGAAGCCAUAUCAUAUUUCAUUUAUUAUUUUGUCUACUUAAUUAUUGUUUUCUUUUAUAUCAUGCAAUUGUGGGUUUUAAAAAUAUUCUGUUUAUAAAAGAU